AAGUCGUAACAAGGUUUCCGUAGGUGAACCUGCGGAAGGAUCAUUAAUGAAAUUAUGACUGGGGUUGUAGCUGGCCUAUAAAACGGCAUGUGCACGCUCCUUUCACAAUCCACACACACCUGUGCACCUUUGCGGGGGUCUUUUUUUCUCUUCGGGGGAAUAAAGACUCGCGUCCCUUUACACACCCUUUGUAUGUCUUAAGAAUGUCUACUCGAUGUAAUAAAACGCAUCUAAUACAACUUUCAACAACGGAUCUCUUGGCUCUC
This 266-nucleotide unclassified non-coding RNA is filed under the name Stereum ostrea. RNAcentral describes it as "partial internal transcribed spacer region". The stretch from base 1 to 46 matches the Rfam family "Eukaryotic small subunit ribosomal RNA", at positions 1786 to 1831 of the family's 1831-position model. The record is from RNAcentral. Lineage: Eukaryota; Fungi; Basidiomycota; Agaricomycetes; Russulales; Stereaceae.